GACCCGUCUUGAACCACGGAGUCUAGCAUGUGYGCAAGUCAUAGGGUUUUUAAAACCUAAAGGCGAAAUGAAAGUAAAGAGACUUAUAUAUAUAUAUAUGGGUGGAGGGAAGAUGUGUAAUCUAUCAUAUUAACACCGCACUCCCGGRAUGUCUCAAAUUGCGAUUAGAGGCGUACCUAGAGCAUACACGCUGCGACCCGAAAGAUGGUGAACUAUGCCUGGUCAGGUGGAAGUCAGGGGAAACCCUGAUGGAGGACCGUAGCGAUUCUGACGUGCAAAUCGAUCGUUCGAACUGGGUAUAGGGGCGAAAGACUAAUCGAACCAUCUAGUAGCUGGUUCCUUCCGA
RNAcentral lists this ribosomal RNA (346 nucleotides) under Bittacus strigosus. RNAcentral's name for it is "eukaryotic LSU rRNA". It matches the Rfam family "Eukaryotic large subunit ribosomal RNA", at positions 646 to 964 of the family's 3401-position model. Lineage: Eukaryota; Metazoa; Arthropoda; Insecta; Mecoptera; Bittacidae. The record is from RNAcentral.